This 433-nucleotide ribosomal RNA is filed under the name uncultured bacterium. RNAcentral describes it as "partial 16S ribosomal RNA". It matches the Rfam family "Bacterial small subunit ribosomal RNA", at positions 29 to 507 of the family's 1533-position model. The record is from RNAcentral.
AACGAACGCUGGCGGCAUGCCUAACACAUGCAAGUCGAACGAGACCUUCCGGCCUAGUGGCGCACGGGUGCGUACCGCGUGGGAACCUGCCCUUAGGUUCGGAGUAACUCCCCGAAGGGGGUCCUAAUACCGGAUAAUGUCUUCGGACCAAAGGUUUAUGGCGUUUGGAUGGGACGGGGUUGGGUUAGCUAGUUGUUAGGGUAAAAGCCUACCACGGCGAGGAUGCAUAGCUGGUCUGAGAGGAUGAUCAGUUACACUGGGACUGAGACACGGCCCAGAAUCCUACGGGAGGGAGCAGUGGGGAAUAUUGUAAAAUGGGCGAAAGGCUGAUCCAGCAAUGGCGCGUGAGUGAUGAAGGCCUUAGGGUUGUAAAGCUCUUUUACUCGGGAUGAUAAUGACAGUACCGGGAGAAUAAGCUCCGGCUAACUCCGUG